CCCUUAGAUGUUCUGGGCUGCACACGUGCUACACUGGCAGGUUCAGCGAGCUUCAUGCCCUGAUCUGAAAGGAAUGGGAAAUCUUUUCAAAACCUGCCGUGCUUGGGAUAGAUGUUUGCAAUUAUUCAUCUUCAACGAGGAUUGCCUUGUAAGCGCACGUCAUCAGCGUGCAUUGAAUACGACCCUGUAUUCUGUUCACACCGCCCGUCGCUCCUACCGAUUGAAGUUUUCGGUGAGUUGACAGGAGGAUUUUUUUGAAACUGGUUCGCCAGUGGAUUUUAGAUCCAAAUGCCAACGAAUCGAUGGCUUUAGAGGAAGGAGAAGUCGUAACA
This 332-nucleotide ribosomal RNA is filed under the name uncultured eukaryote. Its description in RNAcentral is "partial 18S ribosomal RNA". It matches the Rfam family "Eukaryotic small subunit ribosomal RNA", at positions 1470 to 1796 of the family's 1831-position model. The record is from RNAcentral.